This 506-nucleotide ribosomal RNA is filed under the name uncultured bacterium. Its description in RNAcentral is "partial 16S ribosomal RNA". It matches the Rfam family "Bacterial small subunit ribosomal RNA", at positions 30 to 523 of the family's 1533-position model. The record is from RNAcentral.
AUUGAACGCUGGCGGCAGGCCUAACACAUGCAAGUCGAACGGUAGCAGGAAACAGCUUGCUGUUUCGCUGACGAGUGGCGGACGGGUGAGUAAUGUCUGGGAAACUGUCUGAUGGAGGGGGAUAACUACUGGAAACGGUAGCUAAUACCGCAUAACGUCGCAAGACCAAAGAGGGGGACCUUCGGGCCUCUUGCCAUCGGAUGUGCCAAGAUGGGAUUAGCUAGUUGGUGGGGUAACGGCUCACCAAGGCGACGAUCCCUAGCUGGUCUGAGAGGAUGACCAGCCACACUGGAACUGAGACACGGUCCAGACUCCUACGGGAGGCAGCAGUGGGGAAUAUUGCACAAUGGGCGCAAGCCUGAUGCAGCCAUGCCGCGUGUAUGAAGAAGGCCUUCGGGUUGUAAAGUACUUUCAGCGGGGAGGAAGGGAGUAAAGUUAAUACCUUUGCUCAUUGACGUUACCCGCAGAAGAAGCACCGGCUAACUCCGUGCCAGCCGCCGCGGUAA